RNAcentral lists this ribosomal RNA (481 nucleotides) under uncultured bacterium. RNAcentral's name for it is "partial 16S ribosomal RNA". It matches the Rfam family "Bacterial small subunit ribosomal RNA", at positions 28 to 507 of the family's 1533-position model. The record is from RNAcentral.
GAUGAACGCUGGCGGCGUGCUUAACACAUGCAAGUCGAACGAAGCAUUUAAGACAGAUUUCUUCGGUUUGAAGUCUUUUAUGACUGAGUGGCGGACGGGUGAGUAACGCGUGGGUAACCUGCCUCAUACAGGGGGAUAGCAGCUGGAAACGGCUGUUAAUACCGCAUAAGCGCACAGUACCACAUGGUACAGUGUGAAAAACUCCGGUGGUAUGAGAUGGACCCGCGUCUGAUUAGCGUGUUGGCGGGGUAACGGCCCACCAAGGCGACGAGCAGUAGCCGACCUGAGAGGGUGACCGGCCACAUUGGGACUGAGACACGGCCCAGACGCCUACGGGAGGCAGCAGUGGGGAAUAUUGCACAAUGGAGGAAACUCUGAUGCAGCGACGCCGCGUGAGUGAAGAAGUAGUUGACUAUGUAAAGCUCUAUCAGCAGGGAAGAUAGUGACGGUACCUGAAGAAGAAGCUCCGGCUAAAUACGUG